This 253-nucleotide ribosomal RNA is filed under the name uncultured bacterium. Its description in RNAcentral is "partial 16S ribosomal RNA". It matches the Rfam family "Bacterial small subunit ribosomal RNA", at positions 524 to 776 of the family's 1533-position model. The record is from RNAcentral.
UACGUAGGGGGCAAGCGUUGUCCGGAAUUAUUGGGCGUAAAGAGCGUGUAGGCGGUCCGGUAAGUCAGCUGUGAAAGUCAAGGGCUCAACCCUUGAAUGCCGGUUGAUACUGUCGGGCUAGAGUCCGGAAGAGGCGAGUGGAAUUCCCGGUGUAGCGGUGAAAUGCGCAGAUAUCAGGAGGAACACCGGUGGCGAAGGCGGGUCUCUGGGCAACAACUGACGCUGAGGAGCGAAAGCGUGGGGAGCGAACAGG